UCAAGCUACAAAGGGCUGACGGUGGAUACCUAGGCACACAGAGGCGAUGAAGGACGUGGCGACCGACGAAAAGCUCCGGGGAGCUGGAAGCAAGCAUCGAUCCGGAGAUGUCCGAAUGGGGCAACCCUUAAGGUACGUCGUUGAAUACAUAGAUGACGUACAGCCAACCGGGCGAAUUGAAACAUCUUAGUAGCCCGAGGAACAGAAAGCAAUAGCGAUUUCCCAAGUAGCGGUGAGCGAACGGGAAACAGCCUAAACCAAUUGUUUUUACAGUUGGGGUCGUGGGACAGCGAUAAAAGACUGGAAAGGUUAGACGAAGUAGCUGAAAACUACACCAGAGGGGGUGAAAGUCCCGUAGUCGAAAAUUAGACCAGCUUAGCUGCAUCCCGAGUAGCACGGGGCCCGUGAAAUCCCGUGUGAAUCUGCGAGGACCAUCUCGUAAGGCUAAAUACUACUGUGUGACCGAUAGUGAACCAGUACCGCGAGGGAAAGGUGAAAAGAACCCCGAAAGGGGAGUGAAAUAGAACCUGAAACCGUCAGCUUACAAGCAAUGGGAGCUCGAUUUAACGAGUGACCGUGUGCCUGUUGAAGCAUGAGCCGGCGAGUUAUAGGCAGUGGCAGGUUAAGACAUUAAUCGUCGAAGCCAAAGCGAAAGCGAGUUUGAUAAGAGCGUUUCGUCACUGUUUAUAGACCCGAACCCGGGUGAUCUAACCAUGUCCAGGAUGAAGCUUGGGUAACACCAAGUGGAGGUCCGAACCGACUGAUGUUGAAAAAUCAGCGGAUGAGGUGUGGUUAGGGGUGAAAUGCCAAUCGAACCCGGAGCUAGCUGGUUCUCCCCGAAAUGUGUUGAGGCACAGCGGUCGAGAUUAAGUUUGGGGGUAAAGCACUGUUUCGGUGCGGGCUGCGAGAGCGGUACCAAAUCGAGACAAACUCUGAAUACCAAACCCGUACUCGGCCAGUCAGACGGUGGGGGAUAAGCUCCAUCGUCGAGAGGGAAACAGCCCAGACCACCAGCUAAGGUCCCCAAAUGACUGCUAAGUGAUAAAGGAGGUGAGAGUGCACUGACAACCAGGAGGUUUGCCUAGAAGCAGCCACCCUUGAAAGAGUGCGUAAUAGCUCACUGGUCAAGCGCUCUUGCGCCGAAAAUGAACGGGGCUAAGCAGUCUACCGAAGCUGUGGAAUA
RNAcentral lists this ribosomal RNA (1183 nucleotides) under Kamptonema animale. Its description in RNAcentral is "partial 23S ribosomal RNA". It matches the Rfam family "Bacterial large subunit ribosomal RNA", at positions 3 to 1209 of the family's 2925-position model. The record is from RNAcentral. Lineage: Bacteria; Bacillati; Cyanobacteriota; Cyanophyceae; Oscillatoriales; Microcoleaceae.